RNAcentral lists this long non-coding RNA (711 nucleotides) under Equus caballus (horse). RNAcentral's name for it is "lncRNA (ENSECAG00000049115.1)". Lineage: Eukaryota; Metazoa; Chordata; Mammalia; Perissodactyla; Equidae. The record is from RNAcentral.
GCCUAUUUCAACAUGAGCACAGUCUAAACGCUCUGGCCUGGGGGCUGAAAAGGGUCACUCUCUAGGGAAUGGGGGUCUACAACCAUGUACCAGCUACAGCCAGUGCAAGAAGCCUGAGGCCAACUGAGGACCAAGCUCAAGGUACCAGAUGAAGUGUGAAAACCAGAUCCAAAGUCUACUUUAGUUUCAAGCUUCUAAGAGCCGCAUCGUGUGGUUAGGAAGGAGAGUGGAGUUAAUAAACCCACGCCAACUGGAGGCAUUGAGAACAAGCUCCUGAGAAAGGCACCGUGGGAUCCAGUGAGGGCACAGAAGCGACACAAGAUCCUGUAGAUGAAGUCAUGAAAUGAUCAAGGCUCAGAAAGUUAAUCUUCCCAAAUGACGCAGUCAGCAGGUAACCACGGCCAAGUCCCCUCCAUCACACCACCAUCCCCCGGUGGCCGUAAAGGAAUGCUACCAAGAGACUGUCAAGAAAGAAAGAAAGAAAGAAGAAUUUCACCUCUCAUCUCCUUUUCUACAUCAGAAACUACAGAAUUCCUUAACUGUCAACACUACUCAGAUUGACUGUUCCUAUGAUACGAUAUUGACUUUUCUGAUACUGCACAUAAAUAUAAAGGUUCUAGAUUAAACUCAGCUUCCCUAUUUAAAUGAAAAAAGAAAAGAUGAAGUUCAAGAUUCUUCGUGUACUUUCUCUCCUUUAUUGAGUGAUAGCCU